Molecule: long non-coding RNA, 2551 nt
Organism: Ctenopharyngodon idella (grass carp)
Lineage: Eukaryota; Metazoa; Chordata; Actinopteri; Cypriniformes; Xenocyprididae
Exons: 9
Source: RefSeq, a predicted model, not a curated record
UGCUCUUUUUUUUUUGCAUACAAUGUAACUGAAUGGUGACCACGGCUGUGUCGGUUCCCAUCCUCUUUCAUUGUAUGGAAAAGAGUUGGAUUUGUGUGAACUAUCCUUUUAACAUGUAUAUUAUUCCUAUCAGACAGGAAACUGUCCUGAUGGAUACUUCUGUCCUCUUGGUACCGGACAUCCAAACUCGUUUCCAUGCCAGUCGGGUUUCUUCAGGAAUGACUCGUAUGGGCAUGGAGGAGAAGCUUGUGUGGAAUGUCCUCCUGGUCACUACUGUCCUACUCUGGCCACACACACUCCUACAGUCUGUCCACAGGUAAAUGUAACUAAUGCUGGGUACACACUACAAGAUAAUCGGGCUGAUUUUGGGCCGAUUUCUCCCCUUCCGACACUCCUAGGUAUGUCCCGAUUAUCUUGAUGGUUCUACAGAUUAUCUUAUCAGAUUUUCCUGUGGUGUGAGGUGUGUUAAGAGUGGCUGAAUCUGCUCGGAAGAACGUCGGAGGCGCCCCGAUCGCGAAUCAGAAAUCCUGAAGUGUGGGGGGAACCCCGAGGACAAACGCGCACACGCUAUGGAGAUUAUGAUGUGAAACGAAACAAUAUCCAAUCAGAAAGCGAGCUGACAGAAGACAGAAGCAUAACAAACGCAGUUAUGGCGCAACAUAAAGUUAAAUGGAUUUGGACAGCAGAGAUGGAGGAUCAACUUGACGAUUUGUGGCAACAGCACAAGUAUUUAUACAAAGUGUCUUGUAAAACAUACCAAAAUCAUUCCAAACACUAUCAACGCAAUUUCUUCCUGCAUAUCGUCCGUCAUGUUUAUUCUGAAGUCUCGAGAGAUUUUGCGAGAUUUCUCGUGUUCACAGUCGGGACUCUGGUUGAAAAUCUGUUUGUGUGUGGUGUGCUGUGUUUGUCACAUCAUGGCACACCACACACUAUAGGAGCAAAACGGUUAAAUCUCUCACACUUUGAAAAUCUUAUAAGUUUUUAAAAAUCUUUUAGUGUACCCAGCAUAAGAUUGUUGGCAUGCCAUAACAUUUUACUUUACUCUUUAACAUUAUACAUUUCCAUGAAAGAGUUUGGGGUUUCUACUGUACUGAGGGGAGCUCAGUCCCAGAGCCAUGUGAAGAGGGCACGUAUGGAUCCCGGCCAGCCUUGACUAAAGCAUCACAGUGCACCCUAUGUAGCGGAGGGAAAUACUGCACAGGACUGGGCAAAUCUGAGCCCACGGGGGACUGUGAAGGAGGAUUUUAUUGUAGACAGGGAUCUAGAAGUCCAAUUCCUCCUGAUGGUCGUAAAGGGGGGGUGUGUCCUGCUGGAAGUUUCUGCCCACCGGGCUCAGUUCACCCGCAGCCGUGCCCUUCAGGAACAUACAGUAACAGCACGGGUCUUCAACAUGCAGAGCAGUGUGUCCGCUGUCCUCCAGGUUAUUAUUGUUUAGGAACAAACUCUACAUCCCCUUCUGGUCCGUGCUCUGCGGGGUAUUACUGCAGAGGAGGUUCAGCCACACCAGUCCAACAUGAAGCUGAGGAGGGACACUACUCUUUAGAAGGAGCUGUGAGGACUGAACCGUGCCCACUGGGAACUUUCCAACCAGGAAGAGGCUACAACUCCUGUAUCGAGUGCCAAUCAGGAAGACUUUGCAACAGGACAGGCCUGUCCCAGCAGCCCCUGUGUCCACCUGGACACUUCUGCCCUGCUGGCUCCUUAAUUGCUCACCCAUGCCCUCCUGGUACAUACACUGCAAGUUCAGGAGCGGAGGAUCUGCAGCACUGUGGCCCAUGUGAUGCUGGUCAGUACUGCCACGCUCCUGGACUAACUGCUCCUCAGGGACCCUGUGAGCCUGGUUUUUACUGCACUGGUGGAUCCCACAUUGCCACUCCGAUUAGCUCCAGAUAUGGUGACAUAUGCCCCAUGGGUUAUUACUGUCCAGCAGGCACCAGACACCCUCAUGAGUACCCCUGUCCUCCUGGAACCUGGAGUAAUGCACUGGGGUCCCAGACUGUGUCAUCCUGUUGGCUCUGCCCUGCUGGAUUCUUCUGCAACAGCUCUGGCCUCAUUCAGCCCACUGGAAUAUGUGCUCCAGGGUUUUAUUGUGCAGGUGGCGCUAAAACGGCCAUGCCUGAUGAUGGGGUAACAGGAAACAGGUGUCCGGCGCGGUAUUACUGUCCACAGGGUUGUACAUCCCCUCUACACUGCCCCGAUGGAACACAUUCAAAUACCACAGGUGCUGCAGAAUGCAGUGACUGUCCCACUGGAUGGCUGUGUUUGGAGGGGGAGGAGCUCCAGUUGUGUCCAGAAGGACAUUACUGUCUGGGGGGCACAGUGGAGGACAUCCUCCCUUGCCCUCCAGGCACAUACAGCCCCAAAGCAGGACAAAGCCAAGUAGAGCAGUGUUUACUGUGCUCAGCUGGUGAGAGCAGUGCCCCUGCUUUACUUACACCUUUGGCAGUUUUAAUAGCACUGGUGUAGUGUAAUGUUCAUCAUACACACCUAUCAUUUUAAGGAAUGUAUUGUGAAGACUGGGGACUAGUUGAACCUACUGGUCCCUGCCAGG